CAGGCCUAACACAUGCAAGUCGAACGCCCCGCAAGGGGAGUGGCAGACGGGUGAGUAACACGUGGGAACAUACCCUUCGGUUCGGAACAACGCCGGGAAACUGGCGCUAAUACCGGAUACGCCCUUUUGGGGAAAGGCUUGCCGCCGAAGGAGUGGCCCGCGUUCGAUUAGCUUGAUGGCGGGGUAACGGCCCACCAUGGCGACGAUCGAUAGCUGGUCUGAGAGGAUGGCCAGCCACAUUGGGACUGAGACACGGCCCAAACUCCUACGGGAGGCAGCAGUGGGGAAUAUUGGACAAUGGGCGCAAGCCUGAUCCAGCCAUGCCGCGUGAGUGAUGACGGCCUUAGGGUUGUAAAGCUCUUUCGCACGCGACGAUAAUGACGGUAGCGUGAGAAGAAGCCCCGGCUAACUUCGUGCCAGCAGCCGCGGUAAU
Molecule: ribosomal RNA, 433 nt
Filed under: uncultured bacterium
Lineage: Bacteria
Description: bacterial SSU rRNA
Rfam family: Bacterial small subunit ribosomal RNA
Source: RNAcentral